CCUGGGAAACGGGUGGUAAUGCCGGAUGCUCCAGUUGAUCGCAUGGUCUUCUGGGAAAGCUUUCGCGGUAUGGGAUGGGGUCGCGUCCUAUCAGCUUGACGGCGGGGUAACGGCCCACCGUGGCUUCGACGGGUAGCCGGCCUGAGAGGGCGACCGGCCACAUUGGGACUGAGAUACGGCCCAGACUCCUACGGGAGGCAGCAGUGGGGAAUAUUGCACAAUGGGCGCAAGCCUGAUGCAGCGACGCCGCGUGAGGGAUGGAGGCCUUCGGGUUGUAAACCUCUUUUAUCGGGGAGCAAGCGAGAGUGAGUUUACCCGUUGAAUAAGCACCGGCUAACUACGUGCCAGCAGCCGCGGUAAUACGUAGGGUGCAAGCGUUAUCCGGAAUUAUUGGGCGUAAAGGGCUCGUAGGCGGUUCGUCGCGUCCGGUGUGAAAGUCCAUCGCUUAACGGUGGAUCCGCGCCGGGUACGGGCGGGCUUGAGUGCGGUAGGGGAGACUGGAAUUCCCGGUGUAACGGUGGAAUGUGUAGAUAU
RNAcentral lists this ribosomal RNA (534 nucleotides) under Bifidobacterium longum subsp. infantis. Its description in RNAcentral is "bacterial SSU rRNA". It matches the Rfam family "Bacterial small subunit ribosomal RNA", at positions 148 to 697 of the family's 1533-position model. Lineage: Bacteria; Bacillati; Actinomycetota; Actinomycetes; Bifidobacteriales; Bifidobacteriaceae. The record is from RNAcentral.